This 330-nucleotide ribosomal RNA is filed under the name uncultured bacterium. Its description in RNAcentral is "bacterial SSU rRNA". It matches the Rfam family "Bacterial small subunit ribosomal RNA", at positions 568 to 898 of the family's 1533-position model. The record is from RNAcentral.
CACGUAGGCGGAUGUGUCAGUCAGGGGUGAAAUCCCGGAGCUCAACUUCGGAACUGCCCUUGAUACAGCACAUCUGGAGUCCGGAAGAGGUGGGUGGAAUUCCUAGUGUAGAGGUGAAAUUCGUAGAUAUUAGGAAGAACACCGGUGGCGAAGGCGGCCCACUGGUCCGGUACUGACGCUGAGGUGCGAAAGCGUGAGGAGCAAACAGGAUUAGAUACCCUGGUAGUCCACGCCGUAAACGAUGGAUGCUAGCCGUCAGCAAGCAUGCUUGUUGGUGGCGCAGCUAACGCAUUAAGUGCUCCGCCUGGGGACUACGGCCGCAAGGUUAAA